GCACUUUGGGAUAAGCCUGGGAAACUGGGUCUAAUACCGAAUACGACCAUGGGAUGCAUGUUUCGUGGUGGAAAGCUUUUGCGGUGUGGGAUGGGCCCGCGGCCUAUCAGCUUGUUGGUGGGGUGAUGGCCUACCAAGGCGACGACGGGUAGCCGGCCUGAGAGGGUGUCCGACCACACUGGGACUGAGAUACGGCCCAGACUCCUACGGGAGGCAGCAGUGGGGAAUAUUGCACAAUGGGCGCAAGCCUGAUGCAGCGACGCCGCGUGGGGGAUGACGGCCUUCGGGUUGUAAACCCCUUUCAGCACAGACGAAGCGCAAGUGACGGUAUGUGCAGAAGAAGCACCGGCCAACUACGUGCCAGCAGCCGCGGUAAUACGUAGGGUGCGAGCGUUGUCCGGAAUUACUGGGCGUAAAGAGCUCGUAGGUGGUUUGUCGCGUUGUCCGUGAAAACUCACAGCUUAACUGUGGGCGUGCGGGCGAUACGGGCAGACUGGAGUACUGCAGGGGAGACUGGAAUUCCUGGUGUAGCGGUGGAAUGCGCAGAUAUCAGGAGGAACACCGGUGGCGAAGGCGGGUCUCUGGGCAGUAACUGACGCUGAGGAGCGAAAGCGUGGGGAGCGAACAGGAUUAGAUACCCUGGUAGUCCACGCCGUAAACGGUGGGUACUAGGUGUGGGUUUCCUU
This 686-nucleotide ribosomal RNA is filed under the name uncultured Mycobacterium sp. Its description in RNAcentral is "bacterial SSU rRNA". It matches the Rfam family "Bacterial small subunit ribosomal RNA", at positions 133 to 833 of the family's 1533-position model. Lineage: Bacteria; Bacillati; Actinomycetota; Actinomycetes; Mycobacteriales; Mycobacteriaceae. The record is from RNAcentral.